UGCAAGUCGAGCGGAACGAGUUAUCUGAACCUUCGGGGAACGAUAACGGCGUCGAGCGGCGGACGGGUGAGUAAUGCCUAGGAAAUUGCCCUGAUGUGGGGGAUAACCAUUGGAAACGAUGGCUAAUACCGCAUAAUGCCUACGGGCCAAAGAGGGGGACCUUCGGGCCUCUCGCGUCAGGAUAUGCCUAGGUGGGAUUAGCUAGUUGGUGAGGUAAUGGCUCACCAAGGCGACGAUCCCUAGCUGGUCUGAGAGGAUGAUCAGCCACACUGGAACUGAGACACGGUCCAGACUCCUACGGGAGGCAGCAGUGGGGAAUAUUGCACAAUGGGCGCAAGCCUGAUGCAGCCAUGCCGCGUGUGUGAAGAAGGCCUUCGGGUUGUAAAGCACUUUCAGUCGUGAGGAAGGUAGUGUAGUUAAUAGCUGCAUUAUUUGACGUUAGCGACAGAAGAAGCACCGGCUAACUCCGUGCCAGCAGCCGCGGUAAUACGGAGGGUGCGAGCGUUAAUCGGAAUUACUGGGCGUAAAGCGCAUGCAGGUGGUUUGUUAAGUCAGAUGUGAAAGCCCGGGGCUCAACCUCGGAAUUGCAUUUGAAACUGGCAGACUAGAGUACUGUAGAGGGGGGUAGAAUUUCAGGUGUAGCGGUGAAAUGCGUAGAGAUCUGAAGGAAUACCGGUGGCG
RNAcentral lists this ribosomal RNA (681 nucleotides) under bacterium SCSIO13103. Its description in RNAcentral is "bacterial SSU rRNA". It matches the Rfam family "Bacterial small subunit ribosomal RNA", at positions 56 to 717 of the family's 1533-position model. The record is from RNAcentral.